Branchiostoma belcheri (Belcher's lancelet) is the source of this 353-nucleotide long non-coding RNA. RefSeq lists it as uncharacterized. The transcript is spliced from 2 exons. The record is from RefSeq and is a predicted model, not a curated record. Lineage: Eukaryota; Metazoa; Chordata; Leptocardii; Amphioxiformes; Branchiostomatidae.
CCGAAAAAGCCUUUUUCUAAAUCUAGUACUGUUCGCAGCAGGAAGUUUCUGUGGAUAUUUGUUGAAUUCGCAUUUAGACACAGUCUAUAUUAGAGAACAGAACAGUUAUCAUGCAGCCGGUGCUUUUGAAGUCAGCUCCUUUAUGCGUCCUUUGGGAAAGACUCAAUCUCAUCUCGUUAAGUAUGAUCCAACCAUUUGUAAGUAAGUAUGUAAAACAAUUUCAGUUUAUUGUAUUGCUACAAUCUGGAAUAUUUUUUCACUACGAUAAUAAACUUAAGAAAUAGGUUAAGUGAUUGUAAAAUAGUUUUGUAUAGGAAAUAUACACCGCAUUUGCAGAAAAAUGUAACGCACUU